This 1348-nucleotide ribosomal RNA is filed under the name uncultured prokaryote. RNAcentral's name for it is "partial 16S ribosomal RNA". It matches the Rfam family "Bacterial small subunit ribosomal RNA", at positions 28 to 1381 of the family's 1533-position model. The record is from RNAcentral.
GAUGAACGCUAGCGUCAGGCUUAACACAUGCAAGUCGAGGGGUAUAAGUAGCUUGCUAUUUAACGACCGGCGCACGGGUGCGUAACGCGUAUGCAACCUACCUUUUACUGGGGAAUAGCCAGAAGAAAUUCUGAUUAAUACCCCAUAACAUUAUGAUUCAGCAUUGGAUUAUACUUAAAGUUUCGACGGUAAAAGAUGGGCAUGCGUUUUAUUAGUUAGUUGGUAAGGUAACGGCUUACCAAGACUACGAUAAAUAGGGGUCCUGAGAGGGAGAUCCCCCACACUGGUACUGAGACACGGACCAGACUCCUACGGGAGGCAGCAGUGAGGAAUAUUGGACAAUGGGCGGUAGCCUGAUCCAGCCAUGCCGCGUGCAGGAAGACGGCCCUAUGGGUUGUAAACUGCUUUUAUACAGGAAGAAACCUUCUCACGUGUGAGAAGCUGACGGUACUGUAAGAAUAAGCACCGGCUAACUCCGUGCCAGCAGCCGCGGUAAUACGGAGGGUGCAAGCGUUAUCCGGAAUCAUUGGGUUUAAAGGGUCCGUAGGCGGACUAUUAAGUCAGAGGUGAAAUCCCACAGCUCAACUGUGGAACUGCCUUUGAUACUGAUAGUCUUGAGUUAUAAGGAAGUAGAUAGAAUAUGUAGUGUAGCGGUGAAAUGCAUAGAGAUUACAUAGAAUACCGAUUGCGAAGGCAGUCUACUACUUAUAUACUGACGCUAAGGGACGAAAGCGUGGGGAGCGAAUAGGAUUAGAUACCCUGGUAGUCCACGCCGUAAACGAUGGUUACUAGCUGUUCGGACUUUGGUCUGAGUGGCUAAGCGAAAGUGAUAAGUAACCCACCUGGGGAGUAUGUUCGUAAGAAUGAAACUCAAAGGAAUUGACGGGGGCCCGCACAAGCGGUGGAGCAUGAGGUUUAAUUCGAUGAUACGCGAGGAACUUUACCAGGGCUUAAAUGUAGAUUGAUAGGACUAGAGAUAGUUUUUCCUUCGGGCAAUUUACAAGGUGUUGUAUGGUUGUCGUCAGCUCGUGCCGUGAGGUGUCAGGUUAAGUCCUAUAACGAGCGCAACCCCUGUUGUUAGUUGCCAGCGAGUCAAGUCGGGAACUCUAACAAGACUGCCAGUGCAAACUGUGAGGAAGGUGGGGAUGACGUCAAAUCAUCACGGCCCUUACGUCCUGGGCUACACACGUGCUACAAUGGUAGGUACAGAGAGCAGCCACUGGGCGACCAGGAGCGAAUCUAUAAAACCUAUCACAGUUCGGAUCGGAGUCUGCAACUCGACUCCGUGAAGCUGGAAUCGCUAGUAAUCGGAUAUCAGCCAUGAUCCGGUGAAUACGUUCCCGGGCCU